UAAGUUAGAUUGAGAUUUAGGCAAAAAAAAAUUUAAAAAAAAUACAAACAUAUAUGAAUUUGCAUUUGGCCAUCACUAUGGGUUUGAGUUUACUAGAACUAGAUAGCUCUUAUUUCACUCAAAACCUACAUCAACAAAGAGGAGUUAUGUUUUUUUCUUCCAUUUUCUGAAGUUGUUAUAGUUUUUGAGUUUACUAGAACUAGAUAGCUCUGAUUUUGCAGGACAAUUGUUUACAAAGGUCAACUAAAGCCAGAUCAGCCAGAAUAAGAUGAAGAAGCUUCUACCCGUCGUGGAUUCUAGCUCUUCUAAUUCAGGACUUUUACAUCUCCCUGAACUUCCCACCCCAACUCACUGGAUGGUAUUUUGUUGGUGGUGACCCCUAUAAAGAAAGCUGGGAAGGAAUCAAAUGCUCUGGAGAUGCCAUUCAUUCCAUGUAACGCAUAACCUUUUGUUCUUAUCUUUGUCCUCAAUUUCUCUUAUUGUACAAACUGUUUUUACUAUCGAAAAACAGUAGAAGCCAUCAAGGGUGGUGGAGGCUUAGUUCGCAUUGGGGCCACAGGAACAAUUGACUCCUUAAUGACCAGGAAAUUGAAUCCAUGAUGAAAAAAAAUGUCACAAACAUCAACUUCCUCAAGACGGAGACCUCCAACAGUCUCAAUCUCAGUGCCCUAUGGUGCAAUUCCCAAAAAAAAACACAACUAAGGAAAAAUUCUCUAAAUGAAGCCAGCAGCAGCGGUAGGAGCAGCAAUGACAGAAAUCCUGGAUGUACAGCAGCAGCAGCAAUGGCAGUUUGUUUGUUUUGAAAACUUUAAAUAGACCAUUAAUUGUUUUGUUGGUAUUGUGCUAAUUGUUGUCUUGAUGGAUGUUAAAUGGGUGAAACAUGCAUAGGUUCAAUCACUAUUUGAUUAUAAUAUUGUUAACUUUUGUUGAUAGAAACUAGAUUUAA
Long non-coding RNA from Magnolia sinica, 946 nucleotides. RefSeq lists it as uncharacterized. The record is from RefSeq and is a predicted model, not a curated record. Lineage: Eukaryota; Viridiplantae; Streptophyta; Magnoliopsida; Magnoliales; Magnoliaceae. The transcript has 2 exons.